RNAcentral lists this ribosomal RNA (326 nucleotides) under uncultured eukaryote. RNAcentral's name for it is "partial 18S ribosomal RNA". It matches the Rfam family "Eukaryotic small subunit ribosomal RNA", at positions 1470 to 1796 of the family's 1831-position model. The record is from RNAcentral.
CCCUUAGAUGUCCUGGGCCGCACGCGCGCUACACUGAUGCAUUCAACGAGCUUUACCUUGGCCGAGAGGCCUGGGCAAUCUUUUAAACCUGCAUCGUGAUAGGGAUAGAUUAUUGCAAUUAUUAAUCUUGAACGAGGAAUUCCUAGUAAACGCAAAUCAUCAAUUUGCAUUGAUUACGUCCCUGCCCUUUGUACACACCGCCCGUCGCUCCUACCGAUUGAGUGGUCCGGUGAGGCUUUGGGAUCUGAGCGGAAAGAGCGUUUCGCUGUUUCUGCUCGGAAAACUCAGUCGAACCUUAUCAUUUAGAGGAAGGAGAAGUCGUAACA